This is a long non-coding RNA of Parus major (Great Tit), 809 nucleotides long. RefSeq lists it as uncharacterized. Lineage: Eukaryota; Metazoa; Chordata; Aves; Passeriformes; Paridae. The transcript is spliced from 2 exons. The record is from RefSeq and is a predicted model, not a curated record.
UGCAAAGCAUGAAAAUAUGCACAUUAAAUGCCUCAAAUGUUAAGAUAAGCAAAUACUUAUUUGCCACAACUCUGAAGUUACUGCCAAAACCUCUGAAGAUGGCUCUGCUGAAAGGAUGAAAUCCCUCUACAGAUCCUGGAACAACUCAGAAGGAAGUGCAGUCAGGCACAGCGUGCCCUGUGCUGAGAGGAGCAGGUGGGAACAGAGCAGCUCCCAGAACACCGGUGUGAGGACAAGGAUGACUCAAGAGUCCCUUCUGGCUCCACUUUCUGAAUCACUGCGGAGCGACCAACCCAGCAUCGCACGUGGACAUGGAGCAGCCCUUAUGGCCUGCAACUUGCUCAGCCACAAGGAAAUGGAGAAAUUCUUCCUUUUGAAAGCCAGUUUUCCAAGAGAUUUGGAAAUAUGGGUACCACCAUGAUAUUCUGAUUUUAUAUGAGACUUUUAAUGCAGCUGAAAUGAUCAGAGAUAAUAAAGGAGAGUGUGCAGACCCAGGUACCCUCACAAACCUCACACUUGUUGGCUCGCUCAGGCUUUCAUCAAGGCAAUGCUAAGGGCAGUUGAUUGCAGCAAUUUCCCUUCUUUGCUUUCCCACUUGCAAAGUAAUUGCUGAGGGAUAUUAAAAUACAUAAGGGAAGAAACAUUUGGGCUGAAGUUUUUAUCCUCCAAAAAUCAGACGAUGUUUUCCCAGACAGCAUCAAAAAGAGCAUCUCUUAAGCUACUUAUUAAUGUUUAAACAUGUUUAUUUCAAGUGAUAGCAGUGCUCUUUGAUAAGUAAUGAUCCAGGUAAAAUAAAAAUAGCUAACAAA